UCCCAGUUCGGAUCGCAGGCUGCAACCCGCCUGCGUGAAGUCGGAAUCGCUAGUAAUCGCGGAUCAGCAUGCCGCGGUGAAUACGUUCCCGGGCCUUGUACACACCGCCCGUCACACCAUGAGAGUCGGGAACACCCGAAGCCCGUAGCCUAACAGCAAUGAGGGCGCGGUCGAAGGUGGGUUCGAUAAUUGGGGUGAAGUCGUAACAAGGUAGC
Molecule: ribosomal RNA, 215 nt
Filed under: uncultured bacterium
Lineage: Bacteria
Description: partial 16S ribosomal RNA
Rfam family: Bacterial small subunit ribosomal RNA
Source: RNAcentral